RNAcentral lists this ribosomal RNA (1000 nucleotides) under Klebsiella sp. Its description in RNAcentral is "bacterial SSU rRNA". It matches the Rfam family "Bacterial small subunit ribosomal RNA", at positions 452 to 1477 of the family's 1533-position model. The record is from RNAcentral. Lineage: Bacteria; Pseudomonadati; Pseudomonadota; Gammaproteobacteria; Enterobacterales; Enterobacteriaceae.
CGAUGAGGUAUACCUAUCGAUGACGUACGCAGAGAGCACGCUACUCGUGCAGCAGCGCGUAUACGAGGGUGCAGCGUAUCGAAUACUGGCGUAGCGCACGCAGCGGUCUGUCAGUCGGAUGUGAAAUCCCCGGGCUCAACCUGGAACUGCAUUCGAAACUGGCAGGCUAGAGUCUGUAGAGGGGGGUAGAAUCCAGGUGUAGCGGUGAAAUGCGUAAGAGAUUUCGAGGAAUACCGGUGGCGAAGGCGGCCCCCUGGACAAAGACUGACGCUCAGGUGCGAAAGCGUGGGGAGCAAAACAAGAUAGAUACCCUGGUAGUCCACGCUGUAAACGAUGUCGAUUUGGAGGUUGUGCCCCUGAGGCGUGGCUUCCGGAGCUAACGCGUUAAAUCGACCGCCUGGGGAGUACGGCCGCAAGGUUAAAACUCAAAUGAAUUGACGGGGGCCCGCACAAGCGGUGGAGCAUGUGGUUUAAUUCGAUGCAACGCGAAGAACCUUACCUGGUCUUGACAUCCACAGAACUUUCCAGAGAUGGAUUGGUGCCUUCGGGAACUGUGAGACAGGUGCUGCAUGGCUGUCGUCAGCUCGUGUUGUGAAAUGUUGGGUUAAGUCCCGCAACGAGCGCAACCCUUAUCCUUUGUUGCCAGCGGUUAGGCCGGGAACUCAAAGGAGACUGCCAGUGAUAAACUGGAGGAAGGUGGGGAUGACGUCAAGUCAUCAUGGCCCUUACGACCAGGGCUACACACGUGCUACAAUGGCAUAUACAAAGAGAAGCGACCUCGCGAGAGCAAGCGGACCUCAUAAAGUAUGUCGUAGUCCGGAUUGGAGUCUGCAACUCGACUCCAUGAAGUCGGAAUCGCUAGUAAUCGUAGAUCAGAAUGCUACGGUGAAUACGUUCCCGGGCCUUGUACACACCGCCCGUCACACCAUGGGAGUGGGUUGCAAAAGAAGUAGGUAGCUUUAACUUCGGGAGGCGCUUACCACUUUGGAAUGCACGGCCG